Molecule: transfer RNA, 84 nt
Filed under: Salinimicrobium nanhaiense
Lineage: Bacteria; Pseudomonadati; Bacteroidota; Flavobacteriia; Flavobacteriales; Flavobacteriaceae
Description: Salinimicrobium sp. CDJ15-81-2 tRNA-Leu
Rfam family: tRNA
About the family: Transfer RNA (tRNA) molecules are approximately 80 nucleotides in length. Their secondary structure includes four short double-helical elements and three loops (D, anti-codon, and T loops). Further hydrogen bonds mediate the characteristic L-shaped molecular structure. tRNAs have two regions of fundamental functional importance: the anti-codon, which is responsible for specific mRNA codon recognition, and the 3' end, to which the tRNAs corresponding amino acid is attached (by aminoacyl-tRNA synthetases). tRNAs cope with the degeneracy of the genetic code in two manners: having more than one tRNA (with a specific anti-codon) for a particular amino acid; and 'wobble' base-pairing, i.e. permitting non-standard base-pairing at the 3rd anti-codon position.
Source: RNAcentral
GCCCGGGUGCUGGAACUGGUAGACAGGCAUGGCUCAGAACCAUGUGUCCAUUAGGGCGUGCGGGUUCGACUCCCGCCUCGGGCA